Molecule: ribosomal RNA, 615 nt
Filed under: uncultured archaeon
Lineage: Archaea
Description: bacterial SSU rRNA
Rfam family: Archaeal small subunit ribosomal RNA
Source: RNAcentral
AUACCGGAUAGAGCAUUGAUAGCUGGAAUGCACGAUGCUCGAAAGCUGAGGCGCCAAAGGGUAGGUCUGCGGCCGAUUAGGUUGUUGUUGAUGUAAUGGAUCAACAAGCCUCCGAUCGGUAUGGGUUGUGAGAGCAAUAUCCCAGAGAUGGGUUCUGAGAGAAGAACCCAGGUCCUACGGGACGCAUCAGGCGCGAAAACUUUACAAUGUGCGAAAGCACGAUAAGGGAACUCUGAGUGCCUCCAAAGGAGGCUGUUCAGGUGUCUAAAAAGCAUCUGAAGUAAGGGCUGGGCAAGACCGGUGCCAGCCGCCGCGGUAACACCGGCAGCCCAAGUGGUGGCCACUUUUACUGGGUCUAAAGCGUUCGUAGCCGGCCAUGUAAGUUCCUUGGGAAAUUUGACCGCUUAACGGUUAAGCUUCCAGGGAAUACUGCUUGGCUUGGGACCGGGAGAGGUCAGAGGUACCUCAAGGGUAGGGGUGAAAUCCGUUAAUCCUUGGGGGACCGCCAGUAGCGAAGGCGUCUGACCAGACCGGAUCCGACGGUGAGGGACGAAGGCUAGGGUAGCGAACCGGAUUAGAUACCCGGGUAGUCCUAGCUGUAAACGAUGCGGGCUA